This is a long non-coding RNA of Xiphophorus hellerii (green swordtail), 1672 nucleotides long. RefSeq lists it as uncharacterized. The record is from RefSeq and is a predicted model, not a curated record. Lineage: Eukaryota; Metazoa; Chordata; Actinopteri; Cyprinodontiformes; Poeciliidae. The transcript is spliced from 2 exons.
GAAUGACUCUCCAUCCAGUAAGUCCCUGGCUGGCCUGGUGGUCCAACUGCUUCAGUUUCAAGAGGAUGCGUUUGGACGCAGGGUCAACAAUCCUCCUCUUACCAAACUACCUGCCAAAUGUUUCCUUGAUUUCAAGGCAGGAGGAACUCUCUGUCACAUCUUGGGAUCAGUAUACAAGUAUAAAAGUGAGCAGGGCUGGUAAGUUAACUGUUUCUUUUGAACCGUAAUAAUUUAAAUACUACCCAACGUUUUGAUGUGUAAGGACGGCACUUGGCAAAAUGUUACAACUGUGUUUUCUCUUACUUUGUAUUUUUGUGUUUUUAUGAUGUAAAGCACUUUGAACUGAUUGUUCAAAUUAACAUUUGAUUAAAAACCCAAAUUUGGAAAACAUGAUUUAUAUUAAAUUUCAGACCUAAUAAAUUCAUACAUACAGAUUUUUUCUCACUCUUUGAAGUUCGGUCACACUUAGUUUUUCUUGGUUUUGGUUAGUUAAUGUUAGCAAAAUUAUUUCUAUUUACUAAAUGCCAGAAAACUUAAUAUCUUAUUGAUGUUUUUUAGAGAUUUUUUGUGAAUUAGUAUGUUGUGUCUAAGCACUUAAGUUGCUCUUGACACAAUUUGUUUGGGAUUUUUUCAGUAUAAUGAAUAUUUAUUACUUCUCAAUGGCUUAUUGAUCUGUGUGAUUGAAAUAAAACUUAUAUUUUAUACAUUAAACAACAUAAUUGAAAUUAGAGGAAAUGUUUUGUUAAAUUAAUAUUUUGCUUUUGGAGCAGUCAUGUAUAUAAGGUGUGUGUGAGACAUUUUAAAACAUUGUGUUACAUUUUCAUUUACUGUGUCCCUGCUGUAGCUUGUAGAUUACCAUCACAAGACAUUAUUAAUGACAGAAAAUGAUAUAUAAUCGUGAAUUGAAACUCUCUUUUUUAAGUUCAUUUGUAUUGUUUUUUACUCAAAAGUGUGGAAAAGUUCAAAACUUGAAUUUUUAAAAGUGCUUGAAUUUUACUGUGGGAUAAGUGUAUGAAUCCUGCACAUAUUUCAGAUAAAAAAUGUGCAGCCACUAGAUGGCAGCACACAUUCACAGUAUCAAAGGUAAUGCAGCUGGGAGUUUUGAUGACACCACAGCCUCUUUGAGAAGCAGAAGUUGGCCAGCUUGGCAUCACCGUAAACGAUGGUUUUACGUACUCCUUUUAGCAUACACUGCACAUAAUAAAAGACUUUUCCAGCAGACGUUUUUUUUUUUCAGCAAAAUUAACAAAAAUAAAAUAAAAUUUUAAAGGGGCUUUAAUCCUUCAUUUAAAGGAACUCAGCAUUUCAGCUGCAUUGCAGUUUUCUGGAAGUUUAUUUCAGAUUAGAUGAGCAUAACAACCGAAUGCUGCUUUGCCAAGUUUGGUUGUGAUUCUAGGGAUUGAGAGUAGAACCCGUAGUCUGGGAGGUUGAUACAACAUCAUCAAAUAUUUAAAGUAUUUUGGUUUUAUGCCAUCCAUUGGUUUAUAAACCCACAAAAGUAGUUUUAGAGUCUAUUUUGAGCUACAAUGAGCCAGUAUAAGGACUUCAGAGCAGCAGCGCUCUGACUUUUCAGGGAGACUUAUGAAGGCAUUGCUGCAAUACUCGGUUCAACUAAAGAUAAACACAUACUAUAGCCUUAAUAUAAAUAAUAGAUUUGCUGUAAAUAAAUAUA